Molecule: long non-coding RNA, 1191 nt
Organism: Papaver somniferum (opium poppy)
Lineage: Eukaryota; Viridiplantae; Streptophyta; Magnoliopsida; Ranunculales; Papaveraceae
Exons: 4
Source: RefSeq, a predicted model, not a curated record
AGAACUAUUUUAUUUUCGCGAACCUUCUUCAUCUCUCCUUCUUUAUCUCUCCUAAUAGAUCUUCUCAUGAACCUAUAGAUCGGAUGAUCUUUAUCAGAGACGAUGAUUUUAAGCUUGAUAAAUCAACAACCCUCUUCUAUUUAGCUAUCUGCUCUAUCAGUCUCUUUAAAAAAAAAUUGGUGUUCCUGCUUCUACCGUCUACAUCUUCUUCUGCUUGAAAAAAAUUCCUUCACAAGAGACCCACAUCCCCUUUUCUUCACAAUCAGAAAACCUUAUUUUUGAUUUUUAUCAUCGCAAUCGGAAAUCCCUAACUUUCUCUCUCGAAAAUCAAAAGAUUUGGGUUUGAUGUUGAAGUUGUCUCUGACAAGGGCAUCAGAUCCAGCUCAUAUAAGAGUUAAAGAAAGUCCUCUUAGUUCUGAUGCCAUCUUCAGACAGCUAGAAUGAGUUUCAAAGAAAGCUAUUCAGUUUCAUACUUUCAUGGUGUUAUUCUGUUAUUGGAGAAAAUUUUGCCUCGACUCAGCACUGCAAGGAAACUUCAGUAUCUGAUAAAUUUCAUGUAUGCAGCCACACCUGAAAUAUGAGGGCAAUAUGCCAACAUAUGGAGCUGCUAAGUCUGGAUGAUAAGAAACAAUGGUCAUACUUACAUGCUUCCAUGUUGAAUGUAUAAGAAACAAUGGUCAUACUUACAUGAAGCUUGUAAUACUUCUCAAACUUGUCCAACAGAGUUGUUUAUCAAGAGCAAAGAUCGUACCUGCAAAAUAAAAUAUGGGCUAGGGUUUAUUGAUUAUACCUAUUAUGGAUUCAGAGAAACGAAAAGAUAAAAAUAAAAAGGUUAGGGAUAACCAAGAGCAAAUAUUGUACCUGCAAAAUAAAACAUGGGUUAGGGUUUAUUGAUUUUAUCUACAAAACAAAGCAUGGGUUAAGGUUUAUUGAUUCAUAGAAACGAAGAGAUAGAAAAGAAAAAAAAAAGGGUUAGGGUUUACGAAGAGCAAAGAUUGGACCUGCAAAAUAAAAUAAGGGUUUAUUAAUUUUACCUGCAAAACAAAACAUGGGUUAAGGUUUAUCGAUUUAGAGAAACAAAAAGAGACAGAAAAAAAACAAAUUAGGGUUUACCAAGAGCGAAGAUUGUACCUGUAAAAUAUAACUUGAGUUAAGAGAGAACGCCUUCUUCUGUAAAAGAUAAAGCCUUUG